UGGGGAAUUUUGGACAAUGGGCGAAAGCCUGAUCCAGCAAUGCCGCGUGUGUGAAGAAGGCCUUCGGGUUGUAAAGCACUUUUGUCCGGAAAGAAAUCCUUGGCUCUAAUACAGUCGGGGGAUGACGGUACCGGAAGAAUAAGCACCGGCUAACUACGUGCCAGCAGCCGCGGUAAUACGUAGGGUGCAAGCGUUAAUCGGAAUUACUGGGCGUAAAGCGUGCGCAGGCGGUUUGCUAAGACCGAUGUGAAAUCCCCGGGCUCAACCUGGGAACUGCAUUGGUGACUGGCAGGCUAGAGUAUGGCAGAGGGGGGUAGAAUUCCACGUNUAGCAGUGAAAUGCGUAGAGAUGUGGAGGAAUACCGAUGGCGAAGGCAGCCCCCUGGGCAAUACUGACGCUCAUGCACGAAAGCGUGGGGAGCAAACAGGAUUAGAUACCCUGGUAGUCCACGCCCUAAACGAUGUCAACUAGUUGUUGGGGAUUCAUUUCCUUAGUAACGUAGCUAACGCGUGAAGUUGACCGCCUGGGGAGUACGGUCGCAAGAUUAAAACUCAAAGGAAUUGACGGGGUCAUAGCUG
This 578-nucleotide ribosomal RNA is filed under the name uncultured bacterium. RNAcentral's name for it is "partial 16S ribosomal RNA". It matches the Rfam family "Bacterial small subunit ribosomal RNA", at positions 355 to 932 of the family's 1533-position model. The record is from RNAcentral.